GGGAGCAGCCCAGAAGAAAGGGAUCUGGGGGUCUUGGCUGACAGCAAGUUGAAUAUAAAUCAACAGUGUACCUGGCGGCCAGGAGGACCAACCAUAUUCUGGGGUGCAUCAGGCACGGCAUUGCUAAGCUGGUCGAGGGAAGGGAUUGUCCCACUCUGCUCUGUGCUGGUGUGGCCUCACCUCCAGCACUGUGUGCAGCUUUGGGCACAACACUAUAAAAAUGACAUAAAGCUAUUAGAGAGUGUCCAAAGGAAGGUUACAAAGAUGGUGAAGGGUCUAGAGGGGACGAUGCCUGAGGAGC
This is a long non-coding RNA of Cygnus olor (mute swan), 301 nucleotides long. RefSeq lists it as uncharacterized. Lineage: Eukaryota; Metazoa; Chordata; Aves; Anseriformes; Anatidae. The record is from RefSeq and is a predicted model, not a curated record. The transcript has 3 exons.